RNAcentral lists this long non-coding RNA (1212 nucleotides) under Monodelphis domestica (gray short-tailed opossum). Its description in RNAcentral is "lncRNA (ENSMODG00000043093.1)". Lineage: Eukaryota; Metazoa; Chordata; Mammalia; Didelphimorphia; Didelphidae. The record is from RNAcentral.
CAUGAUCUUGAGGGGGCCAAGUAGAUGAUCAGCCUGCCUUCCUUCCUUCCUUUCUCUUCUUUCUUCCUUUCUUUCUUUCUCUCUCUUUCUUCCUUCCUUUCUCUUUUCUCUUUCUUCUUUCUCUCUCUCUUCCUUCCUUCCCUCCUUCCUUUUUUCUCUUUUUUCUUUCUUCUUCCUUCCUUCUUUCCUUUCUCCUCUUUCUUUCUCUCUUUUUCUCUUCCUUCCUUCCUUCCUUCCUUUCUCUUUUUUCUUUCUUUCUUCUUUCUUUCUCCCUUCCUUCUUUUCUCUUUUUUCUUUCUUCUUUCUCUCUCUUCCUUCCUUUCUUCCUUCCCUCCUUACUUCCUUUCUUCUCUUUUUCUUCUUCUUCCUUCCUUCUUUCCUUUCUCCUCUUUCUUUCUUUCUCUCUCUCUUUCUCUUCCUUUCUUUCUCCUAUCUUUCUCCCUUCCUUCCUUUCUAUUUUUUCUUUCUUCUUUCUUUCUCUCUAUUCCUUCCUUCCUUUCCUUCCUUUCUCUUUUUUCUUUCUUUCUCCCUUCCUUCCCUCCUUCCUUUCAUUCUUUCUCUUUUUUCUUUUUUCUUUCUUAUCCUUCCUUCCUUUCUUUCUUUCUUUCUUUCUUUCUCUUUCUCUUUCUCUUUCCUUCCUUCCUUCCUCCCUCUGUCUCCCUCUCUCCCUCUGGAUCCUUCUCUCUCUCUUUCUUUUCCUCUCCCUCUCCAUCUCUGUCUGCCUCUGCCUUUCUCUCUGUGUGUCUCUCUGCCUCUGUCUCUCUCUGUCUCUCUCUGUCUCUUUCUUCCUUUCUCUUUCUUCCUUCCUUUCUUUCUCUUUCCUCCUUCCUUUCUUUCUCCUUCCUUCCUUCCUUCCUUCCUUCCUUCCUCCCUGUCUCCUUAUCCCUCUCUUUCUCUUCCUUUCCCUCUCCAUCUCUGUCUGUCUCUGCCUUUCUCUCUGUGUGUCUCUCUGCCUCUGUCUCUCUCUCUGUCUCUCUCUUUCUUUCUUUCUCUUUCUUCCUUCCUUUCUUUGUCUUUCCUCCUUCCUUCCUUCCUUCCUCCCUCCCUGUCUCCUUAUCCCUCUCUUUCUCUUCCUCUCCCUCACCAUCUUUGUCUGUCUCUGUCCCUCUCCCUCUCUGUCUCUCUGUCUUUGUCUCUCUCUGCCUCUGUCUCUGUGUCUCUCUCCUGACUCCAGGCCUGGCACUCUAUCCACUGUUCCACCUAGCUGCCCCA